This 254-nucleotide ribosomal RNA is filed under the name uncultured bacterium. Its description in RNAcentral is "partial 16S ribosomal RNA". It matches the Rfam family "Bacterial small subunit ribosomal RNA", at positions 524 to 776 of the family's 1533-position model. The record is from RNAcentral.
UACGUAGGGUGCAAGCGUUGUCCGGAAUUAUUGGGCGUAAAGAGCUCGUAGGCGGCUCGUCGCGUCGGCUGUGAAAACCUGGGGCUCAACCCCGGGCCUGCAGCCGAUACGGGCGAGCUAGAAUUCGGUAGGGGAGACUGGAAUUCCUGGUGUAGCGGUGAAAUGCGCAGAUAUCAGGAGGAACACCGGUGGCGAAGGCGGGUCUCUGGGCCGAUAUUGACGCUGGAGGAGCGAAAGCGUGGGGAGCGAACAGG